RNAcentral lists this unclassified non-coding RNA (226 nucleotides) under Hevea brasiliensis (rubber tree). Lineage: Eukaryota; Viridiplantae; Streptophyta; Magnoliopsida; Malpighiales; Euphorbiaceae. The record is from RNAcentral.
UGGUUUAGGUUUUCAUAGUUAGGAUUCUUGUGUAUAAAUAGCAGAAUGUACAAAGUAUUUUUACAUUGAGAAAUAUACUAGAAAACUAUCUCCAAAACCUCUAAUUUCAUCACACAAUUUCUUAGGCAUCCCCAAUUCCCCAUGCAUAGAACACUAGAAGUCACAGAAAUAUCUCAUAUUCACAAAUUUCAAACAAUAUCCUAGUUCUUUAAAGGCCACAAGUAGA